Molecule: transfer RNA, 72 nt
Filed under: Camelus bactrianus (Bactrian camel)
Lineage: Eukaryota; Metazoa; Chordata; Mammalia; Artiodactyla; Camelidae
Also listed under: 2 other names
Rfam family: tRNA
About the family: Transfer RNA (tRNA) molecules are approximately 80 nucleotides in length. Their secondary structure includes four short double-helical elements and three loops (D, anti-codon, and T loops).
Source: Rfam by way of RNAcentral
GGGGGUAUAGCUCAGUGGUAGAGGGCAUGCUUAGCAUGCAUGAGGUCCUGGGUUCAAUCCCUAGUACUACCA